UAGCAUGGGGGUGCAAAACGAUUUGCUCGGGAAUUAAUUGGGCGUAAAGCGCACGUAGGCGGUUCGUUAAGUCGGAAUCGGUGAAAGCCCUCGGCUCAACUGAGGAAGUGCACCCGAAACUGGCGAGCUUGAGUACGAAAGAGGGAUCGCGGAAUUCCCGGUGUAGAGGUGAAAUUCGUAGAUAUCGGGAGGAACACCGGGAUG
This 204-nucleotide ribosomal RNA is filed under the name uncultured bacterium. RNAcentral describes it as "partial 16S ribosomal RNA". The stretch from base 31 to 204 matches the Rfam family "Bacterial small subunit ribosomal RNA", at positions 547 to 716 of the family's 1533-position model. The record is from RNAcentral.